CGUGUUUUGUCUAAAGAUGCGCUGCUUUUUUAGUUGCGGCGGAGGGUGAGUACACGUGGGCAGUGCGGCGGCUAUAAUGCAGUCGAGCGAACAGAUAAGGAGCUUGCUCCUUUGAAGUUAGCGGCGGACGGGUGAGUAACACGUGGGUAACCUACCUAUAAGACUGGGAUAACUUCGGGAAACCGGAGCUAAUACCGGAUAACAUUUAGAACCGCAUGGUUCUAAAGUGAAAGAUGGUUUUGCUAUCACUUAUAGAUGGACCCGCGCCGUAUUAGCUAGUUGGUAAGGUAACGGCUUACCAAGGCGACGAUACGUAGCCGACCUGAGAGGGUGAUCGGCCACACUGGAACUGAGACACGGUCCAGACUCCUACGGGAGGCAGCAGUAGGGAAUCUUCCGCAAUGGGCGAAAGCCUGACGGAGCAACGCCGCGUGAGUGAUGAAGGGUUUCGGCUCGUAAAACUCUGUUAUUAGGGAAGAACAAAUGUGUAAGUAACUGUGCACAUCUUGACGGUACCUAAUCAGAAAGCCACGGCUAACUACGUGCCAGCAGCCGCGGUAAUACGUAGGUGGCAAGCGUUAUCCGGAAUUAUUGGGCGUAAAGCGCGCGUAGGCGGUUUCUUAAGUCUGAUGUGAAAGCCCACGGCUCAACCGUGGAGGGUCAUUGGAAACUGGGAAACUUGAGUGCAGAAGAGGAAAGUGGAAUUCCAUGUGUAGCGGUGAAAUGCGCAGAGAUAUGGAGGAACACCAGUGGCGAAGGCGACUUUCUGGUCUGUAACUGACGCUGAUGUGCGAAAGCGUGGGGAUCAAACAGGAUUAGAUACCCUGGUAGUCCACGCCGUAAACGAUGAGUGCUAAGUGUUACGGGGGUUUCGCCCCUUAGUGCUGCAGCUAACGCAUUAAGCACUCGGCCUGGGGAGUACGACCGGCAAGUUGAAACUCAAAAGUAAUUGGACCGGGCACCCCG
RNAcentral lists this ribosomal RNA (966 nucleotides) under uncultured Staphylococcus sp. RNAcentral's name for it is "bacterial SSU rRNA". It matches the Rfam family "Bacterial small subunit ribosomal RNA", at positions 1 to 925 of the family's 1533-position model. Lineage: Bacteria; Bacillati; Bacillota; Bacilli; Caryophanales; Staphylococcaceae. The record is from RNAcentral.